Perognathus longimembris pacificus (Pacific pocket mouse) is the source of this 130-nucleotide small nucleolar RNA. RefSeq annotates it as small nucleolar RNA SNORA40. The record is from RefSeq and is a predicted model, not a curated record. NCBI's taxonomy places the organism in Eukaryota, Metazoa, Chordata, Mammalia, Rodentia, Heteromyidae. The transcript has a single exon.
AACACUUGUAUGUGUGUCUUUGUUCAAUUUGUAACAAAGCCUUAGAGACAAGUACAAACAGUAAAUCCUCUUUUACAACCCAGAUCCCAUUGUUGAGUAUGAGUUUUUGGUAUAUGUUACAAGGAACAUA